This 435-nucleotide ribosomal RNA is filed under the name uncultured bacterium. Its description in RNAcentral is "partial 16S ribosomal RNA". It matches the Rfam family "Bacterial small subunit ribosomal RNA", at positions 355 to 781 of the family's 1533-position model. The record is from RNAcentral.
UAGGGAAUCUUCGGCAAUGGGGGCAACCCUGACCGAGCAACGCCGCGUGAGUGAAGAAGGUUUUCGGAUCGUAAAGCUCUGUUGUAAGUCAAGAACGGGUGUGAGAGUGGAAAGUUCACACUGUGACGGUAGCUUACCAGAAAGGGACGGCUAACUACGUGCCAGCAGCCGCGGUAAUACGUAGGUCCCGAGCGUUGUCCGGAUUUAUUGGGCGUAAAGCGAGCGCAGGCGGUUUGAUAAGUCUGAAGUUAAAGGCUGUGGCUCAACCAUAGUUCGCUUUGGAAACUGUCAAACUUGAGUGCAGAAGGGGAGAGUGGAAUUCCAUGUGUAGCGGUGAAAUGCGUAGAUAUAUGGAGGAACACCGGUGGCGAAAGCGGCUCUCUGGUCUGUAACUGACGCUGAGGCUCGAAAGCGUGGGGGAGCGAACAGGAUUAG